UACAGAGGUCUCAAGCGUUGUUCGGAUUCAUUGGGCGUAAAGGGUGCGUAGGCGGCGCGGUAAGUCGGGUGUGAAAUCUCGGAGCUUAACUCCGAAACUGCAUUCGAUACUGCCGUGCUUGAGGACUGGAGAGGAGACUGGAAUUUACGGUGUAGCGGUGAAAUGCGUAGAGAUCGGGAGGAACACCAGUGGCGAAGGCGGCUACCUGGACCAGCACUGACACUGAGGCACGAAAGCGUGGGGAGCAAACAGG
This 253-nucleotide ribosomal RNA is filed under the name uncultured bacterium. RNAcentral describes it as "partial 16S ribosomal RNA". It matches the Rfam family "Bacterial small subunit ribosomal RNA", at positions 524 to 776 of the family's 1533-position model. The record is from RNAcentral.